GUGGGGAAUUUUGGACAAUGGGCGCAAGCCUGAUCCAGCAAUGUCGCGUGCAGGAAGAAGGCCUUCGGGUUGUAAACUGCUUUUGUACGGAACGAAACGGUCCUGGCUAAUACCCGGGGCUAAUGACGGUACCGUAAGAAUAAGCACCGGCUAACUACGUGCCAGCAGCCGCGGUAAUACGUAGGGUGCGAGCGUUAAUCGGAAUUACUGGGCGUAAAGCGUGCGCAGGCGGUGCUGUAAGACAGGCGUGAAAUCCCCGGGCUCAACCUGGGAAUUGCGCUUGUGACUGCAGUGCUGGAGUGCGGCAGAGGGGGAUGGAAUUCCGCGUGUAGCAGUGAAAUGCGUAGAUAUGCGGAGGAACACCGAUGGCGAAGGCAAUCCCCUGGGCCUGCACUGACGCUCAUGCACGAAAGCGUGGGGAGCAAACAGGAUUAGAUACCCUUGUAGUCC
RNAcentral lists this ribosomal RNA (450 nucleotides) under uncultured bacterium. RNAcentral's name for it is "partial 16S ribosomal RNA". It matches the Rfam family "Bacterial small subunit ribosomal RNA", at positions 354 to 796 of the family's 1533-position model. The record is from RNAcentral.